CACGCCCUAAACGAUGUCAACUAGGUGUUGGGUGGGUAAAACCAUUUAGUACCGGAGCUAACGCGUGAAGUUGACCGCCUGGGGAGUACGGCCGCAAGGUUAAAACUCAAAGGAAUUGACGGGGACCCGCACAAGCGGUGGAUGAUGUGGAUUAAUUCGAUGCAACGCGAAAAACCUUACCUACCCUUGACAUGUCAGGAAUCCUUGAGAGAUUGAGGAGUGCCCGAAAGGGAACCUGAACACAGGUGC
Molecule: ribosomal RNA, 249 nt
Filed under: uncultured bacterium
Lineage: Bacteria
Description: partial 16S ribosomal RNA
Rfam family: Bacterial small subunit ribosomal RNA
Source: RNAcentral